UCUUAAGUACAUGCCUACAAUUUUAAUACAACAAAUCCCAUUAGAACUCCAUAGUUAAGCAUGCUUGGGAUAGAGUAGUACUAAGAUGGGUGACCUCUCAGGAAGUCCUAGUGUUUUACAU
Picea glauca (white spruce) is the source of this 121-nucleotide non-coding RNA. NCBI's taxonomy places the organism in Eukaryota, Viridiplantae, Streptophyta, Pinopsida, Pinales, Pinaceae. The record is from Rfam.